Long non-coding RNA from Dreissena polymorpha, 1684 nucleotides. RefSeq lists it as uncharacterized. The record is from RefSeq and is a predicted model, not a curated record. The transcript has 5 exons. NCBI's taxonomy places the organism in Eukaryota, Metazoa, Mollusca, Bivalvia, Myida, Dreissenidae.
AGUUUCAAAUGAAUUAUGUCUGUGUUCAAUUUUAGUUCAUAAUUGAUGAGAAUGAUUCCAUUUUAUUCUUUUUUGAGGAUUUGUACAUACAUGUUCACUGUUUCACUGAUGUUGAGUAUAAACUGCCUAUUGAACAUAGUUUCCCAGUAUUGUUUUUUUUAUCUAGACAAUGGGAAACCACACACAAGCAAUUAUUCCUAAUGUGUGUACCUCGCAACUACAUACAACGCCUCCGCUGUGUAUACGUGUCUCGAAAGGUACGGCACUACUUACAAGACUGUUAUCAAGUGUGAGGCUGAUGGACUAUGGAGUGAACUUGCACCUGUUUGCUCAGGUAUCGAUGAAUGCCUCAACAGGAAGACGUGUCACUACAACGCCAACUGUAUCAACUUGGACGGCAGCUUCAAGUGUGACUGUCAGAAUGGAUAUAGAGACCUGGAGGGGAUCGGGGGACAACGCUGUGCUGUUUUGUCUCAAUAUAGACGAGUGUUCUUCUGGUGGCGAUUUCUAUUGCGCAACAUUCUUCAAUCAGACACGAGUAUGCGUGAACACUGACGGAGGGUUCGUGUGUGUGUGUGUGUAUGUGCAGCAUAGGAUUUACUGGACCCAAAUGUGAAAGCGGUAUUCCUUAAUGAAUAUUUUACAAUCUGGAAUUAUAACUUGAUCAAGUAUAACAAAAUACAUGAACGCAUAUAUUAUUUAAUUUUUAUGUGUUUGCUUCAUUAAAUAUUUAUGUUGAAUACUAGUAUUGGCAAUAUAUGUGUGUACAUAAGCAGCCACUGAAUAGUUUUUUCCAUGUUUCUAAAACGUAGAUAAUAUUUGUUACAUACGAAAUUCGUAAUGGCACAAAACGUAAAACUAAUAAUGUUUGCAGAUAUUGAUGAAUGCAAGCAUAAUACAACGUGCGGUGUAAAUGCAGUUUGUAGCAACACGUUCGGCAGAUUCAAGUGUAAUUUUGCAGAGAUGGCUUUCUACAGGGAAACCCCUAUCUGGGCUGCUUCGAUAUUCCAAGUAUGGACGGAUUUAUAUCGCUCGAUUUUCAACCAUUGUACAAUCAAUAUGGAGGUGAAAAUGCCAGCAAGUGGAAUUCAGCUGUUCAUAACCACAGGGUAAUCGCUCCAUUAUGGACAAACAUCGACAGCAGAAAUAUAACAGACAGUGGACUGUGGAUCCAUGUGUUUACCGACCACCAGAAGGACACGGUAGAGAUUCAGACGAUUUAGGACCUUAUCCACAUGUACACCAAUCAGCCCGAGUUCAAUAUCAGUGUUGCCUUGGUCGCCACGUGGAAACACGUGACUGUCCACUCGCCCUACGAACCCGGAUAUGAGCUAGUUAAACAUCAGAACUUGUCGAUGCAGUGCAUACUGGUGUCAGACGAGAGAUUUACACAUAUAUCAUGUUCAACUAUGACCAAGAACAAUUUAGUAUCAGACCAUUACCGGAUGUGCCUGUUGCUAGUGGAUACACUCAUGUGGAUUUCCAGCGCACCAGUAUUGACGGAUUUAUAUCGCUCGAUGUUCAACCAUUGUACAAUCAAUAUGGAGGUGAAAAUGCCAGCGAGUGGACUUCAGCUGUUCAGAACCACAGUGUAAUGGCUCCAUUAUGGACAAACAUCGACAGCAGAAAUAUAACAGACAGUGGGCUGUGGAUCCAUGUGUUCACCGACCACCAGAAGGACAAG